CUCUGGUUUGAUGAUGUAUUUUUGUUGCAAGCAAAGAAAAACUUAGUGUAGAAACUUGCAAAGAGAGAACAACCACACCUGUUGCAGCAAAGUUCAGAGACAGAAGACACCACAGGGGACCCACUCACUUUUUGUCUGGGAUGAAAAAUGUUGUACUUGGAAAAGCCAACAUCAGUUUGGAAUCAACAAAGUAAAAGAAAAUUAUUGCUAAUAUGAAAUAUAUGAGAAUUACUCUGCAUACUGAGUGUAGAGCUUAUUCUAAAUUGGAAA
Molecule: non-coding RNA, 270 nt
Organism: Pocillopora verrucosa
Lineage: Eukaryota; Metazoa; Cnidaria; Anthozoa; Scleractinia; Pocilloporidae
Source: RefSeq, a predicted model, not a curated record